UGGGGAAUAUUGGGCAAUGGAGGAAACUCUGACCCAGCCAUGCCGCGUGAAUGAUGAAGGCCUUAGGGUUGUAAAGUUCUUUUGCCAGGGAAGAUGAUGACGGUACCUGGAGAAUAAGCACCGGCUAACUUCGUGCCAGCAGCCGCGGUAAUACGAAGGGUGCUAGCGUUGUUCGGAAUUACUGGGCGUAAAGCGUGCGCAGGCGGUUUAUCAAGUCAGAGGUGAAAUUCCGGGGCUCAACCCCGGAACUGCCUUUGAAACUGGUUAACUAGAGUCUCGGAGGGGUUAGGGGAAUUCCUAAUGUAGCAGUGAAAUGCGUAGAUAUUAGGAGGAACACCAGUGGCGAAGGCGCCUAACUGGACGAGUACUGACGCUCAUGCACGAAAGCGUGGGGAUCAAA
Molecule: ribosomal RNA, 400 nt
Filed under: uncultured bacterium
Lineage: Bacteria
Description: bacterial SSU rRNA
Rfam family: Bacterial small subunit ribosomal RNA
Source: RNAcentral